Molecule: non-coding RNA, 1314 nt
Organism: Rattus norvegicus (Norway rat)
Lineage: Eukaryota; Metazoa; Chordata; Mammalia; Rodentia; Muridae
Source: RefSeq, a predicted model, not a curated record
UUUCUUCCUCCUCUUCGUCUUCUUUUUUUUUUUAAACAAACUUUCAUUCAUUUAUGGUCUUCCGCAACCUGCUAAUUUAACACUGGAGCGCGUUAUUGCAGUGUUAGGAGGAGAGAAAGAGGGAGAGAAAACAACAAUACUGCAAUGAUCCAAAUGAUACAGUAGAAUUAUAGCAAUUAUAGUUCUACUUGUGGAAGAAAACCUUGCUGAGAUCAAGCAAACAAACUGAAGCCUUGUGAGGAUAACAAGCCUCGCGAUUGACAGCCGGUGCUGGGAAGAGUCGGAGGGCACAAACAGAAAUAUUUGCCUCCCUAGCCCCCCUUAACUCCAACCAGUAAAGGUUAACCUUCUCAAACGCUGCUUUUAGUCUUAUCCACUUCAGGCUUAUGACAUUUUAUGCACUAAUCGAGAUUUCUCCUCCUGGAAGUCUGGUAAUAGGAGGAAAUGUGACAUAAUCCGCUUGCCUAGAACUUGCCCUCACCGUCUCUGCCCCCCAGUUUACCCUUCACUUCCUACCCUUGCCUCAUUUCUCCCCAGGCUGCUGAGAUCCGUCUGCAGACCGGGUUUGUUGACGUGCUUUCAAAGAAGCGGUCCCGGAGAAGUCCAAAGGGCUCAGCAGGGAGAGGGUUCCCCCCCCCCCCUUCUGUUUUGGAAGUAUCGUAUUGGAUCUCGGCCGAGCCCUCAAGGUUUGCUCCAAAUACAGAUCUGGGCAAGGAGGUCGCUGCUUCAAGUCUGUGCUCAGAGUGCAGGGCGUGCUUCCCCUCCCACCGGUGAGAAGCAAAUAGCUGGGUUCUGGGCUCCUCACCCGAGUCCCUUGGCAGGAGGUUCCCAUCUGCUGCUGCUCUUCCCCCCACCCAGGUUUCCAAAUCCCAGAGGGAAGCUUCUCAGCCCCUUAAUCGCCGCCAUCUGCUUUCUACUCCCCAUCACCAACUGGACCUGAAGACCCCGAGUGUGCAUCCAGGGUGGAGGGGUCUCCAUGCAGCUUUUCCUCGGGACGGUGGGGGUGGGGGCAGGAGGGCAUUGGGAUGGAGCUGCAAAAGACUCAACUCAAGCGUCUUUCCGGAGGCCUGAGGGACCCCCAGAUGUCUGGGUCCUGCCAGUCUUCACCCCUCACCCCACCGGCAAGCAGCACCCUUGUCAGGCUCGGCUUAGAGCCACAGCCAGAGUGCGCCCCCUAGCGGGGGCUCCGGGUGGGCCGAGCCUUCCAGGUUCAGCCUCUAGGAACUGAAGUUGGCAGAUCCAAGCGAUCCUGCAGGCAUGAAUGGGAGAAAGAAAACAAAAGCCUUGCAAACAUUUCCAAGCGUUCAAUAAAAG